Drosophila yakuba is the source of this 2339-nucleotide long non-coding RNA. RefSeq lists it as uncharacterized. The record is from RefSeq and is a predicted model, not a curated record. NCBI's taxonomy places the organism in Eukaryota, Metazoa, Arthropoda, Insecta, Diptera, Drosophilidae. The transcript is spliced from 2 exons.
AACCUGCGCGGAAAAGAAAACAUAAAAAUGUUAGCAUUGUCGUUGUAUCUUAUUGUGUAUGUGUAUUUCAGCUUCUAAAGUGGUUUUAUCCAUUAAAUUAUCCUUAUAUUAAUAACAAUUAAGUUUAAAUAAAUAAAAGCAAAAGCUGUGCCAUCUCAAGGUCAUGAAUGCAUUAAAAGAAAAAGUACAAAACAAAUAAUUGAAACUAAUUUGGAAAACUCUUUGAACAAGACAGAUAUUUUGGUUCAGUCACUGAACAAAUCUGUUUACUGUCUAAAAUCUGAAAACCAUUUUUCCGACAGCUGACAGCUUCGCACUGAAUAUAAUACACAAUUUGCAAUCCGAAAAUGAGUACAAUAAAAAUAAAACAAAAAACGUGACGUUCGACUGGCCAUCUCAUAGUAUUGAGAUAUAUACAUAUAUGUACAUAUAUAAUAUUUUUAAAAUAAAGCAGUUUUUGUCUAUUAAAAUAAACUGGCCAGCUUAAUUGGAAGGUUUGUAAAAAGUUAAAUUUGAAUGUAAAAAGUGUUUCAGUUAGCCCAGGUGGAUUAUACAGAAAAAAGAAAUGCGAUGCAAUUAAGCAUUACAUGUAUCGAUGAGUCCAUCAAUCAUUUCAUUUAGUUCAAUUCGCGCCACUGAGUUCAAAUUAUAAUGAUACAACAAAAAAUUGAUGAUAAAGAGGGACUAAUGCAAUCAGCGUCGAGAGCAAUUGAAUCAACACAAGAAAAAUCCAAUAUGGUCGUGCAAAUUGAAUCACUCCAAUUUGCCAUCCAUUUUUUCCGGACAUUGCAAGCCUAAUGAAUAAAAUGAUAAUACCCAGCGUCAGUGAGUCUAUAAAUGCGCAGAUUGCAUAAUAUUCGCACCCAUUGGUUUACAUUGCGCCUCCCCAAACGGCUGUGAAAAGUCACAUGGCGUUGCGAUUUGAAACAAUGGCUGACCGCAGUACUGCGGAGCAGCAGUGGGUGGAUGGUGGUGCAGGUGGUAUCGGUGGUGCUGGUGGUACUGGUGGUACUGUUGGUGUCGGUGGUGAGCCACCGAAGAAGUCACCGCUGCCUGACAGACUGGGCCAAAAACCACUGGCACUGGAACCCCGAAUAGAGCUCAUUGCAUAACGCCUGAUGAGCAAUAGUUGCGAUUACUUUCCAUUGUUGAACUGUGACUGUGUCACGCAAAAAACAUCAAAGUACGGCAAACAUAUAUAUGUACAUAUAUGUAUGUACGAGUAUAUGGAUUGUGUACUUAGUAACCUAGCACUGGGAGAUCAGAGUUCGCUUGGCUGACUCACUUAGCGAGUUGGUUACGACUGGACCGUGUAAUCAGGUACAACUACUGCUAAUCGGCGCAUCAAUCGGUGGGUCAUUGAAGUUAAUUUACUGUGAGCGAUAAAUUAACUUCCCUCAAUGGAAUGACAACUUGUUUGAAGCCGCCCUCGCCCGAGCCAACUUGUAAUUACAAUUAGCCGCAGCAGUAAGGUUCUAGUUGUUCUGUGAAAAAGGUAUCUCUAGCUUUUGCAAUUGUAUUAAUAAUCUCAAUAAAUAGCAGGUAAUUAAACCGCAACCCUACUAUAAACCUGAGAUACAUGUAAUAAUCGAACUAUUUAACUCUUGUUACAACCAAUUUUCAAAAUUCAUACUCAAUGUGUUUGCUAAUUGAUGUGAGUUUAUUACGAAUGUGAAGGUAACCCAAAUGGCAAACUCGAAAUUACUCUUAUACUUGUUAAAGAACAACUACCAGAAAUCGAUAAAUUAACCACUUGUGAAACUCACCCGGAAACUCCUGUGGAAUGAGCAGGGUCUUCUUGCGCUGCGAUGCCUGAGUCUUGGCGUUGUGUCCAUGGUAGAUGUUGCGCUGUCGCACCAGCCUGUAGAGCAGAAAAAGCUCAUCGUGGCCGGGUGGGGUGCCACCGUUGCUGCUGUGGCGACCGUUGUUGUUUUGGUGACCAGAACCAGAACCAGAACCCGAGCCCGAGCCCGAACUAAGACCAGGACCAGAGCCAGUUCCGUUUCCGGUGGCGCUGCCUCCGCUGGACGAUGAAUGGGUGCCGGUGCCGGUGUCAAUGUUGCCACUGGAAAUGUUUCCACCACCACCACCACCACUACCACCAGAUCCAAACGGAUUCGCUCCCGUCGAGGAGCUGCUCGAUGCCGCCGUGGAGGAGCCAUGCGAUGAGCUGGACUGCAGAGUUUCGUUGGAGCUCUUGCUCGCAUGCAGGAUGCGAACAACUCGGGGCAGGGAAUUUCGCUCAAGGAACUCAAUGGCGGUCAGCGCUCCCUGGAAGAUCCAAUUUUUAUUAGUAUAAUUCAAUAAUAUAACAAUAUAAUUCAAUAAUUCAUUAUUAA